GAUGAACGCUAGCGAUAGGCUUAACACAUGCAAGUCGAGGGGCAGCAUGGUCUUAGCUUGCUAAGACUGAUGGCGACCGGCGCACGGGUGCGUAACGCGUAUGCAACUUGCCUCACAGAGGGGGAUAACCCGUCGAAAGACGGACUAAUACCGCGUACACUCCAUCUUGGGCAUCCAAGGUAGAGGAAAUGAAAUUCGCUGUGAGAUAGGCAUGCGUCCCAUUAGCUAGUUGGUGAGGUAACGGCUCACCAAGGCGACGAUGGGUAGGGGAACUGAGAGGUUGAACCCCCACACUGGUACUGAGACACGGACCAGACUCCUACGGGAGGCAGCAGUGAGGAAUAGUGGUCAAUGGGCGCGAGCCUGAACCAGCCAAGUCGCGUGAAGGAUGACUGUCUUAUGGAUGGUAAACUUCUUUUAUACGGGAAUAACAAGAGUCACGUGUGACUCCCUGCAUGUACCGUAUGAAUAAGCAUCGGCUAACUCCGUG
RNAcentral lists this ribosomal RNA (490 nucleotides) under uncultured bacterium. RNAcentral describes it as "partial 16S ribosomal RNA". It matches the Rfam family "Bacterial small subunit ribosomal RNA", at positions 28 to 507 of the family's 1533-position model. The record is from RNAcentral.